This 526-nucleotide ribosomal RNA is filed under the name Fusarium sp. UASWS1113. Its description in RNAcentral is "eukaryotic LSU rRNA". The stretch from base 157 to 310 matches the Rfam family "5.8S ribosomal RNA". The record is from RNAcentral. Lineage: Eukaryota; Fungi; Ascomycota; Sordariomycetes; Hypocreales; Nectriaceae.
CAUUACCGAGUUUACAACUCCCAAACCCCUGUGAACAUACCUUAAUGUUGCCUCGGCGGAUCAGCCCGCGCCCCGUAAAACGGGACGGCCCGCCAGAGGACCCAAACUCUAAUGUUUCUUAUUGUAACUUCUGAGUAAAACAAACAAAUAAAUCAAAACUUUCAACAACGGAUCUCUUGGUUCUGGCAUCGAUGAAGAACGCAGCAAAAUGCGAUAAGUAAUGUGAAUUGCAGAAUUCAGUGAAUCAUCGAAUCUUUGAACGCACAUUGCGCCCGCUGGUAUUCCGGCGGGCAUGCCUGUUCGAGCGUCAUUUCAACCCUCAAACCCCCGGGUUUGGUGUUGGGGAUCGGCUCUGCCUCACGGCGGUGCCGCCCCCGAAAUACAUUGGCGGUCUCGCUGCAGCCUCCAUUGCGUAGUAGCUAACACCUCGCAACUGGAACGCGGCGCGGCCAUGCCGUAAAACCCCAACUUCUGAAUGUUGACCUCGGAUCAGGUAGGAAUACCCGCUGAACUUAAGCAUAUCAAA